UUGGUCUGUUUGAGAAGCCUCCUUAGAAACUCCAUAGUCUCAGCUCCUCAGCAUUUCUGAAAUUCCUUCCAGGGUGAACCCAAAUCACCCCGUUCUCCUGGAGGACCCGGUUCUCUCUGCCAUUGCCCAAAAGCACAAGAAAACAGCAGCUUUGGUUGCCCUUCGCUACCAGAUUCAACGUGGGGUUGUGGUUCUGGCCAAGGGUAACAACAAGAAGUGGAUCAAAGAGAACAUACAGGUGUUUGACUUUGAACUGACUCCAGAAGACAUGAAGGCAAUCGAUGGCCUCAACAGAAAUAUAAGAUAUUACGAAUUUCACCUUGGUGUUGGUCAGCCUGGCUAUCCAUUUUCUGAAGAAUAUUGACUCUCAGCUCUCACUGUGGUUCUUUGAGAAUUACUUGCUUCUAGGACUAUGAAGAGGAUUUUUGUACUUGGUGGAAGUGCUUAAAUGUCUGAAUGUUUGAAAGUUUGCCUUUCCUUUAUAAAAAUAAACAGUUAAUGAAACAA
Molecule: long non-coding RNA, 507 nt
Organism: Bubalus bubalis (water buffalo)
Lineage: Eukaryota; Metazoa; Chordata; Mammalia; Artiodactyla; Bovidae
Exons: 3
Source: RefSeq, a predicted model, not a curated record